Molecule: ribosomal RNA, 493 nt
Filed under: uncultured bacterium
Lineage: Bacteria
Description: bacterial SSU rRNA
Rfam family: Bacterial small subunit ribosomal RNA
Source: RNAcentral
GAUGAACGCUAGCUACAGGCUUAACACAUGCAAGUCGAGGGGAAACGAUAUUGGAAGCUUGCUUCCGAUAGGCGUCGACCGGCGCACGGGUGAGUAACGCGUAUCCAACCUGCCCACCACUUGGGGAUAACCUUGCGAAAGUAAGACUAAUACCCAAUGACGUCUCUAGAAGACAUCUGAAAGAGAUUAAAGAUUUAUCGGUGAUGGAUGGGGAUGCGUCUGAUUAGCUUGUUGGCGGGGUAACGGCCCACCAAGGCGACGAUCAGUAGGGGUUCUGAGAGGAAGGUCCCCCCACAUUGGAACUGAGACACGGUCCAAACUCCUACGGGAGGCAGCAGUGAGGAAUAUUGGUCAAUGGGCGAGAGCCUGAACCAGCCAAGUAGCGUGCAGGAAGACGGCCCUAUGGGUUGUAAACUGCUUUUAUAAGGGAAUAAAGUUAGUCUCGUGAGACUUUUUGCAUGUACCUUAUGAAUAAGGACCGGCUAAUUCCGUG